Carassius gibelio (silver crucian carp) is the source of this 900-nucleotide long non-coding RNA. RefSeq lists it as uncharacterized. The transcript is spliced from 2 exons. The record is from RefSeq and is a predicted model, not a curated record. NCBI's taxonomy places the organism in Eukaryota, Metazoa, Chordata, Actinopteri, Cypriniformes, Cyprinidae.
UGUUGUGUUUACUAAUCUGCAGGAGGUUGAGGCCUAUAAAAACAAAAACAAAACGCUUCUCUCUGGUAAAUAAAUAAUGUUGCACUGGAAUAGUUUAGCAGAGUUUUAUCGUGCAUAAACUUUUUUAAGCAUCUUCACAUGUAACAGAGCAUCAUGCCACUGGCAUCUUAAAGGAUUUCUGCAGGGCCGUCUCGUUCUUUGAUGGAAGCUGCAGAUAUGGAGCUGGAACCCGCGGUUUCGGUCACCCCUACCGACAGCCCCGACUGCGACCAUCAGAGACCGACCGCGGUCAGGAACCAUGGAGCUUCAGCGCCCUCCCACCUUGCCUGUUAUCCCCCGCACCCACCCCCUCCUGGGCAUCUCUCCGCCCUCGUGAAUACCCUCUCGCCCGCUUUUGAUCAAACCACGGCUGCUCCUGCAAUGUGGCCUAGGUAAUGGUUGUGGCCGGUUGCCGGGGUGUGUUGCCAUGGAGGGGGGUGGGAUGGACUUCAUUUGGUCAUUUGGACUUCAAGGCUGGACGUACCACUGACUCUAUGCUUUAAUUAGAGGCUGGCAUAAUAAUUGUUUGAUCAAGACUGUAAAAGAGCCCGUUGAGAGGUGGGCCAGCGCUGGCUGUGUGUAUCCUGCUUAAAAUGCCCUGCAUAUAGAGGUAGUGGCAGUCAGGGAGGUCUCUAACUGCUUUAUAUUUAUUAAAAUUCAGAAUAAUCCAUGCAAUCAAGAGAUAAUGUACAGUCAGACGGCCAUUUUUGUGAAAAAAAAAAAAAAAAAAAAAACCCACCAGGGUGAUCAGGAUCCCAAUUUGAAGGAGAUUUUUCCAUAAUGACCAACUGGUAGAAUGUACAUUAUCUGGCUUAUUACACUUCUGCUUAACAAUAAAUAAAUAAAUGGACAUGAAAUAUU